CUGUGGCCUUAAUUUGAAAGAGACAGGCGGGAAGCUUUUUGAGGCAGGAAAGAUGGCAGCAAAGUGGGACCUAGAAGAUGGAGACCCGUCAGGAUGCCAGCUAUGUUUCUAGGCACCCCAGUGGCAGUGCAUUUCUGCUGCUGCUGCUGCUGAUUCAUACUCUGCUCUUCAGGAUCAAAGUCGCCACACAAAGUGCUUCAGAUGGGCUAAGAGAACAAGGACCCAGGUGCAAGGUAACAGAAAAAGCUUCCCUGCGCAGAAAUUUCAGAAUCUGAAGGCAAAGGUGCUUUAGAGGUGUAGAAGAGCUGUUCUUUUCUGAUCGUGAUGGACGGCACCUGGGCAAACACCACAAGCAGACCUGCUACUGCGUUUUACACCAGUUGCAACUGCGGAGCCAUCAUCAAGGGCAUGGAGCUACAUGGAGAAAGAACAUUGCUGCAGUCUCAACUGACCAAGGCAGACUGGAAGGUCUAGCUUCUAACAGGGAUGAUGUUCUGGCCAACUCUGGGUUUUCAUCUGACCUGCUCACUGCAGGAGCUCAUGCAGCACUGCUGUUUUCUUAAGGACAACACUAGGAAGCUCAUUCCGUCUAGACAUACAGAGCAUCAAGGAAAUCUGGCUCUUUCCUUCUCCUUCUUUCCCACGGCCAGGCCCUCCAGUCCCCAGAACACGGGAGUGAAGGUACCCUUGUAAUGAGAUGAUUGCAUGCGAUAACAAUGAUAUCUGAGUGCCAUCCUGAAAGUAAUAAUAUCAACAGUCUACAGUAUGGGGUACACAGAUGGAUUCCCCAACAUCGGACAAAGGGUUCUUCUGCAGCUAAAGCCCAUUGAACUCCAUGGGACUUACUUCUGCAUAAACAUCCAUAUGCUGCCGCAUUGCCACACCAUGAGGAGUUUUUUGGAGCCCGGAGUCCUUGGCACUAAUGUAUUCUUUUCACAUGAAAUGGACCUUACAGAUCAGACAAGUUCCUGUCUGGGAAAGGAAAUGCGAUUUCCAGCAUGGACUGCCAUCUUUUCCAGGCUACUGCUAGCAUGCUAGACCCUCUUGGGUAUGACUAGAUAAGAUGCUGGCAUGCUUGACUGCAUCCUCAUCACUCCUUUUUGCCCUUGGACCAAAACAUACAGGUACCACAGAAUCCCCAGAGCUCCUCCUUCCUAAUGCUGUGCUUCUGGUUGGGUGUGCCCUCACUGUGUCUUCAGCUGUUUUAGAAGCCCUGAAUAAUGCAUGAACCUCUGGGACUGACACACAGAACUUGUAGCACACCAGUGAGAAGAUGAAAUUCAUGUUGGCACCGGCAGUGGAUGUGGUCCGUACAGCGUCGACAAAUUGACUUCGGGCCAAGCAAGGAUGUUGGCAUUCCUCGGGACUACGUGGAAGGAUGUAUCGGGGGUGUUUAGAAGAAAAUCAGGCAUCGCCUUGUACCAGACUUGGUUGGCUUUGGUUUACUUGUGGUGAAAUUCACAGAGGUAGAAAAUCAGAGGGGAAGAACCUACCAGUGAGUAGGUAGGUCCACUUCUCUGUGGAGGUCUUUCUCCAGACCUGCCAGCUGAUAUUCGUGAAUGGGAGCUUCCAGAGAUGGAGCUGCGGUCUUCUCCAUGCCAGAUGGCCUGAUCUGCCAUUAAUCUAUGUCACUUCCUGACACAGAAGUGCUAUUUUGGGCACGUCCCCUUGGCGUUCCUCACGGGUCGAGCUGGCUUUCGUAAUACGGAACUGCAACCCUGUGAGGUAGUCUAGGCUGGAAGUCAGUGUCAGCAUCACAGCCCAAUGCCAGGGAGCUUCAUGGUGAGAUGGGACUAGAACCUGGAUCUCCUGAGUCCCUGUCUGAUGCUCCAACCGUCUCGCCACACUGGCUCUCACAAUGAAAUCAGAUCCUCAUUUAAUUUUGGACUUAUCUUUAUAUUUUGGCCACAUUCCCAUUUAAUUUCAUCAGCAGUAUUAACUUCUGUUUAUCCCCAUUAACAAAAUCACAUGGUCUACUCUAGUCAGUAUGUUUGAAGCUGAGGGUGGAGAAAAGAGGGUGAGGAUAGGCAAGAAAGAAAAAAAAUAAGCACAGAGAAGAAGAAAGAUGCAGGAUUGGGGAAACAGGCACUGCUGGAUUUUCUGUCAAGAGUAAAACCCGUCUACCUUGUCGUGCUUGCAACAUGCAUAGCAAAUAAUGCAAACUAGGAAAUCCUUUUCACCCCAGUGAAAUGUUCCUAAGAUAAGGAUGGCUCAGUCUCCAUCUCUGGCACAAGAAGGCAGCUUUCCUCUGCUUCCCCUGGUCUCCUGUGGGCUGCAGCUGUCACAGGUGGGAUGCACAGAACAUGCAGGGCUGCAUUCCACUGGGGUGCAGCGCUCUGGUUUGCAUGCAGAAAGCUUAAGGGAGACGAGAGGAAGCAGAACCGCUGUGCUUGGAGUGUAAUGGUGAAGGCAGAAAUAGGAAAUUAUGGUGGGUGGGGAGACCCCUUCCCUGAGCAGUGAAUGGGUGAAGCAUGUGUGAAACUCUGCUUGUUCAAACUUGUCAGGAGAGCGGCAGUUUGUCAAGAGCAGGACGCUUUGCAUAAACGAUGGUUUUAAGCCUUUAUCGUAAUGUCAGUGCUUUGUUGCAACUGACCCUCUUCUGGGUGAAAGCCUACUUAAACCAUUAUAGACUAAACAAUGCUCUUCUCCGCUGAAAGUGAGGGAAAUAGAGGAAGCAUUGUGAAAGUGGCUUGGACGGAUUCCCAGAUGGCAAGGAAGCAACUGCAGCGAGCAGAACAGGGAAAUGUACGGGCAUGUAGGACAACCGGAGCAUAAUGGGGCAGGUGGAAAGGGAUGCCCUUGCCCACAUCGGGGGGUCUAGCAAGUCAUGUUUGCUGCUGCAGUCGGGCUUGAUGUGCUGAAGGCUGCCAUUGCCGGCAGGGCAUGGGGAGUUGGCCCUCUUCCCAUGAAUGCAGCCUACAAAAAGUUGUCUCAGAUUCUGCAUCGGGACUGGAAGAAGAGGCAGGGUCGGAAUUCUUAGCUGAAGGCCAAGGCCAGCCAACCCAGAGAUGAUUCUAGGCUUCAUCAAGGUGGACUUUGCUCUUAUUCUAAGUAAAGAAUAAGCCAAUUCUUCUGCUCUCCAAGAAGAGGUUUAAUGUUUACUCUGAAAUCUGCUUGAACAUGGAGCCGUGUCUUUCCUACUGUAAAGAAGAUAAAUAAUGGAUGCAAGUCAAGGAUUCCUGAUGGUUGGCCAUUCAGCUUCUGAUUAAAUUCCUUCAGUGAAGGAGAACCUCCCACCCUGUGUGGAAACCUCUUCUAUGGUCCAGGCCUGGUGCAUCCAUUCUCAGCUUCUACAGAGUUGCUUCCUGCACUGCUGGGUUGUUCUGAACAACUGGAUGCAUACUAAGCCCCAGAGAAAAGGGGAAGCUGGGCCUCGCAGCAGAAAGAUCAUGCCAUCACUGUCAGGUGGACACGCUUCAUCGUGGGGUUCUACAGGUGGGAAGGGAUCCUACCCCUGGGAGCCUGUUGCCAAACAUCCAGAUGUGGAGUCUUGCUGAUGAUCGAUUACGUUGGACAUAUCAUGAGAAGGGGAGGCCUCCUGGAGGAGACAAUCAUGCUAAGGAAGGUUAAAGGCAGAAGAGGAAGAGGAAAACUAAGCAAGAGACGGAUGGACCCUGUAAAGGAAGUGCCUGUCCUUCAUUUAGGGUGGAACCUGGUGGAUCGGGGCGUCUGCAGCAAGGGUGGGUGCCACCCUCUCAGAUUGCAUGUGGAGGAGCUGGAGCAGGACUGGAGAAUGUGUGGCCCUCCCGAUGUGGUUGGGAUGCCAUUUCCAGCAUCCCCAGCCAGCAUAGCCAGUGGACUGCAGCAUGCAAGGGCAUGCAGAAUGGGGGCAUCCAUCACUUGCUCAUUGCAGGCUGGUUCCUCUGAGGUCCCUCGGAUUCUGAAGAGGAGGAGCGGUGGCCGGAUGUUGACACUUCAAGGUUGCCCAGUGAAGUUCCUGAAGCAGAGCUUGAGAACUGGUCUACUUUGGAUUUGGAAAGGAGAAAGGGUGCGAAGUUUGAACCCCGUCCUUGGCCUGGCAACCCACCAGCCAGCACUGCUUCAGGCUAAAGAGGAGAUCUUGCAGUCAAAAGAGUCAAAGCAUCCAGCCAGACUUUACUGAGUGCUGCUCCCUACAUUACAGCAGCAGAAAAGAAGGUUGCCAGGACACUGUUGGGCAAGGCGAUGGCCUGCCCAGUUUAAGCCAAAUGGGCCACCACCCCAUACUCAAGGUGGGCCACUCCACUGGGUGGCCUCUUCGGCUGCACUGUGCUUCCUUUUCUGUUUUAACCUCAGAUCUCCGAUUCCUGCUUCUCCUCUUCCUUUUCACUCGAAGACGGACAACUUCAGUGGGCAUCAGCUGCCUGGCCUCCUCCCCAUCAGAGUUGUUUUCCUCCAUUUCCUCCUCUUUCACCCUAAACAUCUCAGCAGGACCUUCUCAACCCACUUCCAGGCAGAGUGAGUUCCCAGGUCUUCUUGGGGUUCAUCUGCACAGAUGUUGGCUCUGUAUUACUGACAGAUGGUGGCCACCCAGCUUCUACUCAAAUACCUCCAGUGAAGGGGAGCCCUCCACCUCUCAAGGGCCAAGGGUUGCAUCCCAUGACGCUAGAUGGUAUAAAUUUGGAGCAAAUAAAAGGAGUUACCCCACACAGUGCAUAGUGCAUAAUGGAAUCUGCUAUGACAACAUGCACUCUUGGCCACCCAUCUGGAUAUUUUUAAAGGCAACAACGUGAUCAGAACGCUGGACUCGGUUGGACUCUCAGUCCAUCCCACUGUGACUCAUGUACUUGAGACUUUCUGAUGAACCGAGGCAAGGGAGAAGAUGUAACUGCCAUCCCCCCAAAUGGGGAACAUUUGGGAAGCACCCUCACAUCUGAGGGGCCAAGAAAAAGGAAAGACAAUGGCUUGGCUCUGCUUUUCAGUACCUGUUCAUUACGUCCAAGGCAAGAGGGAUCCAACCGCAGAGAGAAAGAUGCUCUGGACAUUUCCAUUCAAGAUUUUCUUGUGCCUGUUACAUCUGCUAUGGCCCAGGCCCAAAGCUUUGACAUUCACAAAGCAGGUUAAGUUCCUGUCCCAUCUUUAUCUGAGCCAGCUUGAUAGUCUGGAAGAUUCUCUGCUGGAUGUUGCAGGAAUCUCGCAAGUCCUGCAUCCUCAACAGAUGACUACUGAAAUACCCCCAGUAAAGGGAAGACCACCCUGUGCCAAAGUUGCUUGCCUCACUUUCAAAUAACUCUAACCAUCUUGGAUCUGGGCAGCUCUGGAGCUUCAUCUAGUGGCCCGAAAUGAAUUGCUAAAAGGGAAGGCCACUGAGUGACUGCUGAUGCCUCCAAAUGUACGUUUUUCUGAAUCAUCAUAUUAAUGCAUACAGAAAUGCGUGUACAGGGGUAAGUAGCUACAAAAAUCAGCCAGGCUGGCCAACGGGCUGUAGGCUACCUGUUCGCAUCUCCAAAGAAUGCAAUUCCCUGUCUGGUCCAGGGGUAGAAAAAUGCGACUAGUGUCCCUCUUUUCCUCCCUCACCAAACCCCACAAGUCAUUGAAAAUUGUGAAGUGGGUGGCAGAUUCUUGUUGCAAUGUGCCAUCAAGUGAUCUCUGACUUAGGAUGGCCCCGUGAAUUCAUGCCCCCCAGCGUGUCCCGUCC
This is a long non-coding RNA of Varanus komodoensis (Komodo dragon), 5617 nucleotides long. RefSeq lists it as uncharacterized. Lineage: Eukaryota; Metazoa; Chordata; Lepidosauria; Squamata; Varanidae. The transcript is spliced from 21 exons. The record is from RefSeq and is a predicted model, not a curated record.